GGCUCGUUGGUCUAGGGUAUGAUUCUCGAUUUGGAGUGCUGGAGAUCCCUGGGUUCAAAUCCCGGACAGAGCCU
Molecule: non-coding RNA, 74 nt
Organism: Merluccius polli (Benguela hake)
Lineage: Eukaryota; Metazoa; Chordata; Actinopteri; Gadiformes; Merlucciidae
Source: the annotation of a GenBank genome assembly